Molecule: ribosomal RNA, 908 nt
Filed under: Sporobolomyces roseus
Lineage: Eukaryota; Fungi; Basidiomycota; Microbotryomycetes; Sporidiobolales; Sporidiobolaceae
Description: partial large subunit ribosomal RNA
Rfam family: Eukaryotic large subunit ribosomal RNA
Source: RNAcentral
GCAUAUCAAUAAGCGGAGGAAAAAGAAACUAACAAGGAUUCCCCUAGUAGCGGCGAGCGAAGCGGGAAAAGCUCAAAUUUGUAAUCUGGCGUCUACGACGUCCGAGUUGUAAUCUCGAGAAGUGUUUUCCGUGAUAGACCGCAUACAAGUCUCUUGGAACAGAGCGUCAUAGUGGUGAGAACCCAGUACACGAUGCGGAUGCCUAUUACUUUGUGAUACACUUUCGAAGAGUCGAGUUGUUUGGGAAUGCAGCUCAAAUUGGGUGGUAAAUUCCAUCUAAAGCUAAAUAUUGGCGAGAGACCGAUAGCGAACAAGUACCGUGAGGGAAAGAUGAAAAGCACUUUGGAAAGAGAGUUAACAGUACGUGAAAUUGUUGGAAGGGAAACACAUGCAGCCAGACUUGCUAUUCGGGGCAACUCGAUUGGCAGGCCCGCAUCAGUUUUUCGGGGCGGAAAAGCAUAGAGAGAAGGUAGCAAUUUCGGUUGUGUUAUAGCUCUUUAUUGGAUUCGCCCUGGGGGACUGAGGAACGCAGCGUGCUUUUAGCAUAAGCUUCGGCUUAUCCACGCUUAGGAUGCGGGUGUAAUGGCUGUAUAUGACCCGUCUUGAAACACGGACCAAGGAGUCUAACAUGCUUGCGAGUAUUUGGGUGUCAAACCCGGAUGCGCAAUGAAAGUGAAUGGAGGUGGGAAGCGCAAGCUGCACCAUCGACCGAUCUGGAUCUUUUGAGAUGGAUUUGAGUAAGAGCAAGUAUGUUGGGACCCGAAAGAUGGUGAACUAUGCCUGAAUAGGGCGAAGCCAGAGGAAACUCUGGUGGAGGCUCGUAGCGGUUCUGACGUGCAAAUCGAUCGUCAAAUUUGGGUAUAGGGGCGAAAGACUAAUCGAACCAUCUAGUAGCUGGUUCCUGCCGA